RNAcentral lists this long non-coding RNA (4523 nucleotides) under Lynx pardinus (Iberian lynx). The record is from RNAcentral. Lineage: Eukaryota; Metazoa; Chordata; Mammalia; Carnivora; Felidae.
UGUUAAUAGUAGAUGAGGGUACAAAAUUCUAUACAAAGAACAUGAGGCAAGGGCUCCCACAAAGAUUUAUUAAGUUACUAUACUCCUCGAAGGACCUAGCAUAAUGAAAUUCACGUCCAAUUUUUUGUCAGCUACAGGGAUCAAGGACGGUUUUCUUUAAAUUUUUUUUUUUAACGUUUUAUUUAUUUUUGAGACAGGGAGAGACAGAGCAUGAACAGGGGAGGGUCAGAGAGAGGGAGACACAGAAUCUGAAACAGGCUCCAGGCUCCGAGCUGUCAGCACAGAGCCCGAUGCGGGGCUCGAGCUCACGGACCGCGAGAUCACGACCUGAACCGAAGUCGGCCGCUUAACCGACUGAGCCGCCCAGGCGCCCCAAGGACGGUUUUCUUUAAAAUGAUGGUGAGUCAAGAUUUUCAUCCCUUGGUUUUACCUGCCAAGUAAAUAAAAUAAAAUGAUAGCUUAUAUAAACAAUUGCUUUUCACUAAACUCAUCUUCUUUUAACUUAAAUUUUAAUGAAAAGAAUAUUUAAAAACUCCCAGUUUUUUACUUUGUGAAUAAAUCUGCCAUAUGCCAGGACGUGAGCUGAUAUUCCUAAUGAAGUCAGCAUUUCUGGCUUGCUUGAGUUGGAGAGAAAAGUUUUAAAUCUUUCUCCUGUUCUUGAUCCCACAGGUGGGAUCUCAUAUGGCCAUGUUCAAGAUCAGUGACGUUUUCAGAAAAGAGUAAGAAUCGAUGCAACUGCAGUGGGAAGCCUGGAGCAAAGCCUGAGGGUCAAGUUUGACAGAGCUCAGGACUGCUCUGGAUGCAUGACAGACCUUGGCUUCAUCAGACCCCAAGCAUGACCUCAUUUUCUCAUAAAUAGAGAAAUGCCUCUUUAGCAAGGAGCUUACAAUCUUCUAUGUAAAAUAAAAAUUGUCCUUCUUGGAUAUAUUCCUGCUGGAGUCCUGAAAAGCUGGAAUUCGUUUUGAACACCAUAUAUAUCUAAGUUGUUUGAAGAUGUUGUUUCAAAGAGAUGCCUCAGGAACCACUUAAGAAGAAUACUCAGCUUCAGGUCCGGCACGCUUGGCUUUAAAUGCUUGACAACCUCGUUUUGCCCUGCCCCAAAUUUCUCACUCCAUUCUCACCAUUUUCUAGAAUACUAACCUCUCCAACUUUCCUCUUUUAUGCCUUCCCAUCAGCAUAGUUUUAUUUACUAUUGCUUGCAUUUUUCCUACAUGUCUUUAGUAAUUUGAUGAAGGCCUUUUGGGAAUGCCUCCGGCUCCAUGGUCCUUGUGCUUUAUGGAGCCUCUGCUCACCACCCAACCUUUCUGGCCUCUUGGGCAGAGCCCAGACAUAACGUGGGGGUCCCUGAAGAGGCUAUGUAUGAACGAUAAAAAAUGACUAACCCCAAUGAACUAGACAACUUAAAAUUAACUUUCAUUUGACCUCUACUUCAUCUGUAUCGGUGUCUUUCAGUUGUCUGUAUCUAUAAAGUCCAGGUACAUUUCUUCAGUAUUCCACUGGCUGGAAAGACGGAGGGAGGGCAGGCAGUGUAUGUAAACAGCUCAGCAGCUGCUGGAAAAUCUUGAUGGGCAUGCUGUCAGUCUCCUUUGCUAUUUCCUCCUAGCUCUGAUUGUGGCUCUGAAUUCUUUAAAGACUAAAGAGAGAUUCUUGUGUUUGACAACUAAACUAACAGCUCGAUGAGGGGAAAAAGACUGCUGAAAUCUGUCAAUGAAUGUUGCUAACAUAUGUUGCAUUUAUGGACAGGGAGAACACUAGACCUAGCAAGUCUUUGGAAAGAUGUGUGAGCUGGCUGACAGCUGUGACAUCCCAGCACAACAAGUUAAAGUAACACUGAGCAGUGGGUUGUGUCCAGUGAGACUUGGUUGGCCACAGAUGACAAUUCUUCUCCCUGAGCUAUUUCUCUAGUGUCGAUGAUUAAUAUCAAAUGUCGGGUAAGGCUCACUUCCAACAAUAAGGUUGAAGCUACACUCAGUUAACAGAGCAUAGGAUUUUAGUUUUCCAUAGCUCACUCAAGCCAUCCAGGCCCUUCCUAGGGGGUUAUCCCCAGGGUGAGUUAGAUAAAAGGAGAGCUGCAAGGCUCUGCUUCCAGAAGCAAAGCUUCUUGCGGUGCACAACGGAAGCAGAUACUUAUCACUUGCAUGAGGAAAGGUGGAACAGGCAUUUUUUGGCCAAACGUGUUGGAUAGACUAAGAUUGAAGAUUGCGGGAUAAACUCAGGUGGAUCCUGGAGGACACACAAUCGUGGAAUAAAUAGUUUCACUGAAAAUCAAAGUUUAGAUACAUAUUUUCAGGGUAAAGAGGAGGUUCUUUGACGUUAGGUGUUGAUGCGUAUAUUCUGCAAUAUAAUUGACCAUAAAUGUAGGCGUGUGUGUGUGUGCAUGUGUGUGUGUUUGUAUAUUUUUCUUGUUUUUGAUGCCUAUCGUAGACAGGGUGUGUAAGCAUAAGAAAAAUAAAGUGUAUAUAUUUCUUUUGCUAAGGAUAUUUUUAUAAGAGAUGUUUAAAAUCAGAAGUGUUAAUUUUACAUUGUGUGUAUAGAAAACAUAGAUGGUUUUCUAUCUUUUGUCUCCAGAUACGGGUUAUUUGUGAGCCUUAAGCAUGAGUGCAUUUCUGCUUCAGCUGAUCACACUUUUGGGGGGCAGUUAAGGGGCACAAAAGUGUGGAGGGGCAUCUGGGUGGCUCAGUUGGUUAAGCGUCUGACUUAGGCUCAGGUCAUGAUCUCACAGUUCGUGGGUUCCAGUCCCGUAUCGGGCUCUGUGCUGACAGCUUGGAGCCUGGAGCCUGCUUUGGAUUCUGUGUCUCCUUCUCUCUCUGCCCUCCCCCACUUGUGCUCUCUCUCUCUCUCUCUCCCCCUCUCCCUCUCUCUCUCAAAAAUAAAUAAACAUUAAAAAAAAUUAAAAAAAUAAAGCAAAAGUGUGGAUAAUAAAAAAUAAUAUAGAAAUACAAAGUCAAUAUUAAAUAAAUCCCUAUUAUAAAUAAAGGGACUGUGGUUUCUAGUGAACGGUUUAACAUGCAUCACAGAACGGGAAUUUGAAUCUGAGAGCACCUGGAUCUGUGCUUACAGUGCUUUAAUCAGACAAGAUCGCUGUGUAACAUCAAAUGCCAAUGGGAUCUUUGAUGGUUGUAGGACACGUCAAUGCAUUUUUGUAUGCCCAGAAGUGGCAGUGAGGGUUCGAUUGGUUUUGAAACUAAGUUUACGUGACACCAAAAUUAGCAAUUAAAAAUUAAAAAAAAAAUUCAGUCUCUUUUCCUUCUAUUUUUUUCAACAAUUUUAAACAAGUUAGCUGUUAAUGACUUUAAUGGGAUGUUUUUGUUUUUACGUAGAUCCGUUCUGUAACAUUGGCACACACCAAAGAAAAGCACAGCCCAGAAGCUAUGCGUUUCUUUUUUCUGGACCACUCAUCUUUUUGGUAUGCUGGCACAAUUGUUUGCAAGCUCUCAUCAUCAUGGGGAAGUCAUCUAUUAAGAACCAUCUGCUGAAGAGAAUUCCAGUCCCUAAUAUUACAUCGCUGCUGGAGCUGUCCAUGUUCUUCCCCACGUGCCGACCACUACCUUUCUCACGUUGCUUCUUUGUGUCUGUGCAUGGAGAACAAACAAAUGUACGGGAUUUGUUUUACUUAAGACUUAGCGUGGUAGAGCUAAAAGUAUAGUUCACUGCCUCUCAAACGUCAAGGUGCAGAGGAGUCACCUGAGACUCUUAUUAAAAUGCAGAUUUGGGGCGCCUUGGUGGCUCAGUUGGUUAAGCCUCUGACUUCAGCUCAGGUCAUGAUCUCAUGGUUUUUGGAUUCGAGCCUUGAGUCGGGCUCUGUGCUGACAGCUCAGAGCCUGGAGCCUGCUUCGGAUUCCGUCUCCUUCUCUCUCUGCCCCUUCCCCUGUUUGUGCUCUAUCUCUCUGGUUUUUCAACUUCCACUCUGUUGACAUUUUGGGCUGAAUAAUUCUUUAUUGUGAAGGAAUGUUUUAUGCAUGACACAAUGUUUAGCAAUAUCCCUGGCUUCUACUGACUUCUACUGUAGUGUUCUCUCCCUCUAGUCGUGACAGUGAGAAUUAUCUUCCAACAUCGCCAAAUAUCCUUUGGGGAUAAAAUCACCCCAAGUUGAGAACCACUAGGGUAGGGGUUAUCAUGAAGGAUUCUGGAUUAGAAUGCUUGGAUUCAAAUUCUGGCUUACUUACUGUAUGAGUGGCCAUAGGCAAUUUAUAUAAUUUUUCUGAGCCUUAGUUUUCUCCUCUAUAAAAUGGGGAUAAUAAUAGUAUCUACCUUAGAUAUUCAUAGUGUCAGUAUGACAACACAGGAGGUUUCUGAAUUUUCCUCCUCCCACUGACACACCAAAUAUACAGCUACACAUGAAGCAACUUCUUCUGAGAGAAAUCCAAAAACCAGCUGAAUCACUCCUACACAUCAGACAACUGGGGAAAGACCCACAUUGAAAUAGGAAAGGCUGGGGCGCCUGGGUGGCUUGGUCGGUUAAGCGUCUGAAUUCAGCUCAGGUCAUGAUCUCACGGUCCAUGAGUUCGAGCCCCACGUCGGGA